GACGGAGGAUGCAAGCGUUAUCCGGAAUGAUUGGGCGUAAAGCGUCCGCAGGUGGCAGUUCAAGUCUGCUGUCAAAGACCGGGGCUUAACUUCGGAAAGGCAGUGGAAACUGAACAGCUAGAGUAUGGUAGGGGCAGAGGGAAUUCCUGGUGUAGCGGUGAAAUGCGUAGAGAUCAGGAAGAACACCGAUGGCGAAGGCAGCCUCCUGGGCCAGCACUGACGCUCAUGCACGAAAGCGUGGGGAGCAAACAGG
This 253-nucleotide ribosomal RNA is filed under the name uncultured bacterium. Its description in RNAcentral is "partial 16S ribosomal RNA". It matches the Rfam family "Bacterial small subunit ribosomal RNA", at positions 524 to 776 of the family's 1533-position model. The record is from RNAcentral.